UGGCGGCAUGCCUUACACAUGCAAGUCGAACGGCAGCAUGGAAGAGCUUGCUCUUCUGAGUGGCGAGUGGCGAACGGGUGAGUAAAGCAGUCGGAACGUACCGUGUAGGUGGGGAUAACGUAGCGAAAGUUACGCUAAUACCGCAUACGCACUGAGGUGGAAAGCAGGGGAUCGCAAGACCUUGCGCUAUACGAGCGGCCGAUGUCAGAUUAGCUAGUUGGUAGGGUAAAGGCCUACCAAGGCGACGAUCUGUAGCGGGUCUGAGAGGAUGAUCCGCCACACUGGGACUGAGACACGGCCCAGACUCCUACGGGAGGCAGCAGUGGGGAAUUUUGGACAAUGGGCGAAAGCCUGAUCCAGCCAUGCCGCGUGAGUGAAGAAGGCCUUCGGGUUGUAAAGCUCUUUCGGCUGGGAAGAAAUCGCACAGGCUAAUACUCUGUGUGGAUGACGGUACCAGCACAAGAAGCACCGGCUAACUACGUG
RNAcentral lists this ribosomal RNA (483 nucleotides) under uncultured bacterium. Its description in RNAcentral is "bacterial SSU rRNA". It matches the Rfam family "Bacterial small subunit ribosomal RNA", at positions 37 to 507 of the family's 1533-position model. The record is from RNAcentral.